This 641-nucleotide long non-coding RNA is filed under the name Phoenix dactylifera (date palm). RNAcentral describes it as "long non-coding RNA (PDAC_LNC009186)". The record is from RNAcentral. Lineage: Eukaryota; Viridiplantae; Streptophyta; Magnoliopsida; Arecales; Arecaceae.
GACUGGUCCUUUGACCUGCGGUGCUUCGGCUAUUCACAGUAAGGUUAUUGUAGUUUGACUGCACAUAUACAUGGUCUCUAGUCAUAUGGAUCCUUGUUGUGUAGAUUGGCUGCAGUAGGUUCGCUGUAGGAGUAGGGUAUGCACUUACAUGGAAUCUAUCGACCUUGAUAGAUGAGGAGAGAUCCUAUGUGAUUUAUAAGACUGAGUUCUAAGACCUUGGCUAGGGCAGAAUAUAUAGUGGAAAAGAGUUUUCUACUCUCGAACUCAAGUCGAAUAAAUCUAGACAUAUGACAGACGACGGGGUUUGACGAGUUAUCCAUGACCUCCGGUCUGUAGGGAUCCACGAUAGAAGGACUGUAUCAUACGAUAACUGCACCUAAAGGUUCAUCAUUCUAUUCUGCUGGGUGGCCACUACAUACUGCUAGGUGUCACUGGUGGAUGGUGAGACUCACAGGGAUCAUCUUGAUGGUCGAUAAUCCCUGGUGAGUUGAGUUGAAAUUGUUUCAACCCAUUAAAAGAAGUUUUCAAUGAUAUUGUGAUAGAGAUCGCAAUAUAUCUCACUACCAGUCAGAAUAGAACCUAUGGGGUCACACACAUUAGAGGUAUUGACCGAUCCGAUGGUUGAAUGUGAUUAGGAAUCA